Molecule: ribosomal RNA, 1326 nt
Filed under: uncultured bacterium
Lineage: Bacteria
Description: bacterial SSU rRNA
Rfam family: Bacterial small subunit ribosomal RNA
Source: RNAcentral
GAUGAACGCUGGCGGCGUGCCUAAUACAUGCAAGUCGAGCGCCCCUUUAAGAGGUGAGAAUCGAAAGAUUGUCUCUUCCUAUGGGGAGCGGCGGACGGCUGAGUAACACGUGGGAACCUGCCCCAAAGUGAGGGAUAACGCACCGAAAGGUGUGCUAAUACCGCAUAUGAUCUUCGGAUUAAAGCUUUAUGCGCUUUGGGGGGGCCUGCGUCCUAUUAGAUAGUUGGUGAGGUAAAGGCUCACCAAGUCAACGAUGGGUAGCUGGUCCGAGAGGAUGACCAGCCAGACUGGAACUGAGACACGGUCCAGACUCCUACGGGAGGCAGCAGUAAGGAAUCUUCCACAAUGGGCGAAAGCCUGAUGGAGCAACGCCGCGUGCAGGAUGAAGGCCCUCGGGUCGUAAACUGCUUUUAUGAGUGAAGAAUAUGACGGUAACUCAUGAAUAAGGGUCGGCUAACUACGUGCCAGCAGCCGCGGUCAUACGUAGGACCCAAGCGUUAUCCGGAGUGACUGGGCGUAAAGAGUUGCGUAGGUGGCUUGUAAAGCAAAUAGUGAAAUCUGGGGGCUCAACCUCACAGGCUAUUAUUUGAACUCACAAGCUCGAGAAUGAUAGAGGUAACUGGAAUUUCUGAAGUAGGGGUAAUAUCCGUAGAUAUCAGAAGGAACACCAAUGGCGUAGGCAGGUUACUGGAUCAUUUCUGACACUGAGGCACGAAAGCGUGGGGAGCGAACCGGAUUAGAUACCCGGGUAGUCCACGCCGUAAACGAUGGAUACUAGCUGUUGGAGGUAUCGACCCCUUCAGUAGCGAAGCUAACGCGUUAAGUAUCCCGCCUGUGGAGUACGGUCGCAAGACUAAAACAUAAAGGAAUUGACGGGGACCCGCACAAGCGGUGGAUCAUGUUCUUUAAUUCGAUGCUAAACGAAGAACCUUACCAGGGCUUGACAUCCCGAGAAUUUUGCCGAAAGGCGAGAGUGCUUUAUUGAACUCGGUGACAGAUGAUGCAUGGCCGUCGUCAGCUCGUGUCGUGAGAUGUUUGGUUAAGUCCAUCAACGAGCGCAACCCUUGUGAUUAGUUGUAUUUUUCUAAUCAUACUGCCCCGGAAACGGGGAGGAAGGAGGGGAUGAGGUCAGGUCAGUAUUUCUCUUACGUCCUGGGCUAGAAACGUGAUACAAUGGCUGGUACAAUGCGCCGCGAAGCCGCGAGGUGAAGCAAAUCGCACCAAAGCCAGUCCCAGUUCGGAUUGGAGGCUGAAACUCGCCUCCAUGAAGUCGGAAUCGCUAGUAAUCGCAGGUCAGCAAACUGCGGUGAAUACGUUCCCGGGUCU